GACGAACGCUGGCGGCGUGCCUAAUACAUGCGAGUUGAGCGCUGAAGGUUGGUACUUGUACCAACUGGAUGAGCAGCGAACGGGUGAGUAACGCGUGGGGAAUCUGCCUUUGAGCGGGGGACAACAUUUGGAAACGAAUGCUAAUACCGCAUAAAAACUUUAAACACAAGUUUUAAGUUUGAAAGAUGCAAUUGCAUCACUCAAAGAUGAUCCCGCGUUGUAUUAGCUAGUUGGUGAGGUAAAGGCUUACCAAGGCGAUGAUACAUAGCCGACCCGAGAGGGUGGUCGGCCACAUUGGGAAUGGGAACAGGCCCAAAAUUCUACGGGAGGGCGCAGGAGGGAAUCUUUGGGAAUGGACGAAAGUCCGGACGAGCAAAGCCGCGUGAGUGAAGAAAGUUUUCGGAUUGUAAAACCCUGUUGGUAGAGAAGAACGUUGGUGAGAGUGGAAAGCUCACCAAGUGACGGUAACUACCCAGAAAGGGACGGCUAACUACGUG
Molecule: ribosomal RNA, 497 nt
Filed under: uncultured bacterium
Lineage: Bacteria
Description: partial 16S ribosomal RNA
Rfam family: Bacterial small subunit ribosomal RNA
Source: RNAcentral